GGUGCCAUGAACAAUAUUUAAGACACCAUCAGGCAAACCAGCCUCCAUAGCCAGUGCUGCAAGUAUCAUUGAGGCCCCUGGAUUUUUCUCACAUGGCUUAAGAACAAAUGUAUUUCCACAUGUAACAGCAAUGGGGAACAUCCACAAGGCAAUCAUAGCUGGAAAGUUAAAAGGGCAUAUCCCAGCACAAACACCAAGUGGUUCUCUAAUGCAGUAUGUAUCAAUUCCAUUGCAUGCAUUAGGAACAAACUCCCCCAUUUGCAAAGU
This 267-nucleotide unclassified non-coding RNA is filed under the name Hevea brasiliensis (rubber tree). Lineage: Eukaryota; Viridiplantae; Streptophyta; Magnoliopsida; Malpighiales; Euphorbiaceae. The record is from RNAcentral.